Molecule: long non-coding RNA, 1658 nt
Filed under: Pongo abelii (Sumatran orangutan)
Lineage: Eukaryota; Metazoa; Chordata; Mammalia; Primates; Hominidae
Description: lincRNA
Source: RNAcentral
AUUGCCCACAGCCGGAUCCACGGUCGGUGACUAAUCUCCGGGAAGGCGUCCAGCAUGAGCCGUGAGGCCUGCGCCUGGGCCAGACUUUACCGCUCACCAGGAGUCUCUGCCCGCCGCCCCCAGCGCAGUUCUCUUCCCUGCUAGACGUAAAGUCCUGGGGACAAGCACAGCCCAGGGCACUUUCUGGAGAGAAGAUUUUGAUGGGGAAAGAUAAGAGAGCAUUUGGAUGUCUAUGCACCGUCAACAGAAAUGAGGCUUCAGGCCAAGGCUUCUAAAAUGCAGGAUUCCCAAAGUGGCAGUCACAUAAGACGGAUCCCUCCAUCGCCUUCUAGAAUAUUGAGAAGAUCAUCACGCCUGGGACUGGCUCAUCACGCUGGGACUGGCUCACAACACUAAUCUUUUUCUUGUUAGCAGAGACUCCAGGAAGCAGAUGAGCAGACCUAUGGGCCUGCUAUGUGCACCUGCCACCUGCCUGGGAUCCUGCAUCACCCAAGUCUUCCUGCGGACCACCCUGGGUGGUGCACAUGCGGUCAUCAUUGUACAAACGAAGCUUUAGUUCUAUAAUGAAAGCCCCUUUAAUAAGUUAUGCUCCUUGAAGACUGGGUCAGCGUCUCUUUCACCUCUUUAUCCCCAGACUUAGCACAAUUACAGCCCCAAAUCGGCAAUGGACCUUUGACCAAAUGACAUGUCAGUGCUUCAGGGAGCUUCACUGAUCAGGACAGAAAUGAGUGACUGGAGGAAGGUGACCCGGAUGUCUGUAACCCCCAGAAAGGGUGAGAUGGCUAUUUCAUCAGCCAGCAUUGCCGAGUUGUUUGUGUGACGACAUUCUGUCUGACUGCUGGGCCUUACCAGUGUGUUCUCUGCUGGAGCCAUGACAGUUUGAGUUGAGGACAUUUUACAUCAAUCACUGAACUGCACAAAAGAUGGAAAUCCAGCAAGGGACCCAGUCGACCUGACUGACCACAGAGCUACCUUUUGCUCUUUCUGGAUGCCACACGGCCUCCUCAUCCCGCCUGUCCUUGGAGCUUGUGUUGGUCCACUUUCAUGCUGCUGAUAAAGCCAUACUUGAGACUGGGUAAUUUAUGAAGAAAAAGAGGUUUAAUGGACUCACAGUUCCACGUGGCUGGGGAGGCCUCACAAUCACAGCGGAAGUUGAAAGGCGUGUCUUACAUGGCGGCAGGCAAGAGAAAAUGAGAGCCAAGCAAAGGGGGUUUCCCCUUAUAGAACCAUCAGAUCAGCUGGGUGCAGUGGCUCACUCUUGUAAUCCCAGCACUUUGGGAUGCUGAGGUGGGAGGAUUACAAGGUCAGGAGUUUGAGACCAGCCUGACCAAUAUGGUGAAACCCCAUCUCUACUAAAAAUACAAAAAUUAUCUGGGCAUGGUGGCAUGCGCCUGUAGUCCCAGCUACUCAGAAGGCUGAGGCAGGAGAGUCACUUGAACCUGGGAGGCGGAGGUUGCAGUGAGCUGAGAUUGUGCCACUGCACUCCAGCCUGGGCCACAAAGCGAGACACUGUCUCAAAAAAACAAAAACAAAAACAAAAACAAAAAAAUCCAUCAGAUCUCAUGAGACUUAUUCACUACCAUGAGAACAGUAUGGGGGAAACCACCCUCACGAUUCAAUUAUCUCCUGCUGGGUCCCUCCCUCAACACAUGGGAAUU